RNAcentral lists this ribosomal RNA (429 nucleotides) under Bacteroidota bacterium. RNAcentral describes it as "Bacteroidetes bacterium partial 16S ribosomal RNA". It matches the Rfam family "Bacterial small subunit ribosomal RNA", at positions 355 to 776 of the family's 1533-position model. Lineage: Bacteria; Pseudomonadati; Bacteroidota. The record is from RNAcentral.
UAGGGAAUCUUCCGCAAUGGACGCAAGUCUGACGGAGCAACGCCGCGUGAGUGAAGAAGGAUUUCGGUUCGUAAAACUCUGUUGUUAGAGAAGAACAGCGCAUAGAGUAACUGUUAUGCGUGUGACGGUAUGUAACCAGAAAGCCACGGCUAACUACGUGCCAGCAGCCGCGGUAAUACGUAGGUGGCAAGCGUUGUCCGGAUUUAUUGGGCGUAAAGCGAGCGCAGGCGGUCAAUUAAGUCUGAUGUGAAAGCCCCCGGCUCAACCGGGGAGGGUCAUUGGAAACUGGUUGACUUGAGUGCAGAAGAGGAGAGUGGAAUUCCAUGUGUAGCGGUGAAAUGCGUAGAUAUAUGGAGGAACACCAGUGGCGAAGGCGACUCUCUGGUCUGUAACUGACGCUGAGGCUCGAAAGCGUGGGUAGCAAACAGG